This 61-nucleotide microRNA precursor is filed under the name Pristionchus pacificus. RNAcentral describes it as "mir-8364 microRNA precursor family". It matches the Rfam family "mir-8364 microRNA precursor family". Lineage: Eukaryota; Metazoa; Nematoda; Chromadorea; Rhabditida; Neodiplogasteridae. The record is from Rfam by way of RNAcentral.
UCUUCAUUUUGCACACUCUCUCGCCUUUCUGACCGGAGAGAGAGUGUGAGGAAUGAAGAGA